Molecule: small RNA, 295 nt
Filed under: Penicillium decumbens
Lineage: Eukaryota; Fungi; Ascomycota; Eurotiomycetes; Eurotiales; Aspergillaceae
Description: 5' ureB small RNA
Rfam family: 5' ureB small RNA
Source: Rfam by way of RNAcentral
CUUCAUCCACUUGUUGCGGGCAAAUUAAAUGAAUGUGCGUAUCGAAACCACCAGCCGUGAUAAUCUUGUUCUCACCAGCAAUAACGUCCGUGGAUGCACCCACCACCAUCUCGGGGUGCACGCCUUCCAUGGUGUCCGGGUUUCCAGCUUUGCCAAUGCCAGAGAUGAGGCCAGCCUUGAUACCAAUGUCGGCCUUGUAGAUACCCGACCAAUCGAUGAUCAGCGCAUUCGUGAUAACCGUGUCCAAACACUCAGCCGCAGAGCGACCAGAUGCCUGCGCCAUUCCAUCGCGGAG